UACGGGGGGGGCAAGCGUUGUUCGGAAUUACUGGGCGUAAAGGGUUCGUAGGUGGCUUGCUCAGUCAGACGUGAAAUCCCUCAGCUUAACUGGGGAACUGCGUCUGAUACUGGCGAGCUUGAGUGCAGGAGAGGAGCGCGGAAUUCCAGGUGUAGCGGUGAAAUGCGUAGAUAUCUGGAGGAACACCGGUGGCGAAGGCAGCGUUCUGGACUGCAACUGACACUGAGGAACGAAAGCCAGGGGAGCAAACGGG
RNAcentral lists this ribosomal RNA (253 nucleotides) under uncultured bacterium. RNAcentral describes it as "partial 16S ribosomal RNA". It matches the Rfam family "Bacterial small subunit ribosomal RNA", at positions 524 to 776 of the family's 1533-position model. The record is from RNAcentral.